RNAcentral lists this ribosomal RNA (253 nucleotides) under uncultured bacterium. Its description in RNAcentral is "partial 16S ribosomal RNA". It matches the Rfam family "Bacterial small subunit ribosomal RNA", at positions 524 to 776 of the family's 1533-position model. The record is from RNAcentral.
GACGAACCGGACAAACGUUAUUCGGAAUUACUGGGCUUAAAGGGUUUGUAGGCGGCCUUGUAAGUCAGGUGUGAAAUCCCUCGGCUCAACCGAGGAAUGGCGCUUGAUACUGCACGGCUUGAGGGAGACAGGGGUAAGCGGAACUGAUGGUGGAGCGGUGAAAUGCGUUGAUACCAGCAGGAACACCGGUGGCGAAAGCGGCUUACUGGGUCUCUUCUGACGCUGAGGAACGAAAGCUAGGGGAGCGAACGGG